CUGAUAUAUUUUUUUAAAGUUCAGCUGCAACAAUCAAUUCGUCAUUCCCAUUCAUAUGAAUCUUAGGAGCUAUAUAAACCCCAAUAUCAUUCUCAUUUUCAAUCCAAGUCAAUCAUGAAGCUGACUCUUCUUAUCUUUGCCAUUGUUGCCCUGGCCUUUGUGGGAGCCCAACCCAAAUCCUCACCUCCCAAGUCGGACAAUGGGAAAUAAAAAUGGCCUUCAAGGAGCCCAACCCAAGUCCGCAGCACCUCGUAGUGCCGGAAAUUAAACCAGGGAAAAAAUAUGAAUUCUAAAAUGGAGCACCAUCUUCAUUAAAAUCAAAAAAAAAUGCAUUAAAAUUAUGAUGUUAUCCCUUUAAAAAUAUGAACAAUGUGUCUUAAUUUUUGUUGCUAAAAUUGGGGAGGUGUGUUACACCUAGCCGCAUCGGCCAAGUAUGUUACAUGCUAUGGGUAGUUCUCUGAACUUAAUCGGGUCGUAAGCCCUUACUAUUAGGUGUAUACAGGUGGCCUCGUUGUGGAUUUUUUCAAUUACCAUAUCACUGGCGUAGGCGUUACUGGGCGCUAAUCGCAGACUCCUUAUGAAGUAACCUGCUGAUGGAUGAUGUAGUAUGCGGUGGCCUUCUCGUUCAUAUGUAGAGCCCACCUCCUGCCCAACCGGCAGAGGGGCUCCUGCCAUAUAACGUACGGCCCGAAGUGCGGCGACAGACCCUAGUUAUAAAAUAAAUGGAUAAAAUGGUUAGAUAGCUAAUGAGAAAGUAUUGCUGCGCGCAAAAAAGAAAUCAAGAGCAUAUGAUUUUAGAUUAAAGGCAGAGGAAAGCAAUAAAAUGCGUUCAACUGCAACAAUCAAUUCGUUAUUCCAAUUUAAUCCAGACAAAUUCAUUACAUUCAUAUGAAUCUUAGGAGCUAUAUAAACCCCAAUAUCAUUCUCAUUUUCAAUCCAAGUCAAUCAUGAAGCUGACUCUUCUUAUCUUUGCCGUUGUUGCCCUGGCCUUUGUGGGAGCCCAACCCAAAUCCUCACCUCCCAAGUCGGACAAUGGGAAAUAAAAAUGGCCUUCAAGGAGCCCAACCCAAGUCCGCAGCAGCUAGUAGUGCCGGAAAUUAAACCAGGGAAAAAAUAUCAAUUCUAAAAUGGAGCACCAUCUUCAGUAAAAUCAAAAAAAUGCAUUAAAAUUAUGAUGUUAUCCCUUUAAAAAUA
Long non-coding RNA from Drosophila ananassae, 1194 nucleotides. RefSeq lists it as uncharacterized. The transcript is spliced from 2 exons. The record is from RefSeq and is a predicted model, not a curated record. Lineage: Eukaryota; Metazoa; Arthropoda; Insecta; Diptera; Drosophilidae.